UUCCCAAGUGGCCUCGUCCUACGAGUGAUUCAUCCAUAGGACCUUAAUGAAGAGAAUUUCUCUGUUGCGAAGCACCCUGCUCUUUUGGUUCAGAAUAUCAAGUGGUAACUCCUCAUAGGAUAGAUCCUCAUAGAAUAGAAGUGACUCAUAAGACAAGAUAUGUGAGAGGUCUGAGUUAUACUUGCGUAGUAUAGACACAUGGAAUACAUUAUGGACUUUGGAUAAUUCUGUAGGUAGUGCUAAUCUAUAGGUGGACGUUCCAAUCAUGUCCAAGAUCUCAAACGAUCCGAUGAACUAGGGAUUUAACUUCCUUUUCUUUCUAAACUUGUUGAUACCCUUAAAUGGGGUGACCUUAAGGAACACUCGAUCACCCAUCUCAAAUUCCAAAUCUCUCCUUUGGGUAUGCACAUAACUCUUUUGCCUACUCUGGGUUAUCU
This 437-nucleotide long non-coding RNA is filed under the name Carica papaya (papaya). RNAcentral describes it as "long non-coding RNA (CPAP_LNC008494)". The record is from RNAcentral. Lineage: Eukaryota; Viridiplantae; Streptophyta; Magnoliopsida; Brassicales; Caricaceae.